Molecule: ribosomal RNA, 273 nt
Filed under: uncultured bacterium
Lineage: Bacteria
Description: partial 16S ribosomal RNA
Rfam family: Bacterial small subunit ribosomal RNA
Source: RNAcentral
CACGUGCUACAAUGGCGUAAACAGAGGGAAGCGAGUCCGCGAGGGGAGCGAAUCCCAAAAAUAACGUCCCAGUUCGGAUUGUAGUCUGCAACCCGACUCCACGAAGCUGGAUUCGCUAGUAAUCGCGCAUCAGCCACGGCGCGGUGAAUACGUUCCCGGGCCUUGUACACACCGCCCGUCAAGCCAUGGGAGCCGGGGGUACCUGAAGUGCGUAACCGCGAGGAGCGCCCUAGGGUAAAACUGGUGACUGGGGCUAAGUCGUAACAAGGUAAC